Molecule: non-coding RNA, 1252 nt
Organism: Pelodiscus sinensis (Chinese soft-shelled turtle)
Lineage: Eukaryota; Metazoa; Chordata; Testudines; Trionychidae
Source: RefSeq, a predicted model, not a curated record
GGCAGGGCAGGGCUGUUCCGGCAAGAGCGCCGGCCACAUGCCGCUCCAGUCACCUUCCCAGCGGCUGCGGAGCGGGAAACGCCCGAAGGAGCCUCCCAUCCAUGAAGCAGACUCCGGUGCCUGGCUGGGAUCAGAAAAUGCUGUUGAAAUAUCCACUUGCAUCUCAGAUACUGUGCCCACUUCCUGACACAGGAAUGAAAGCACUAACCUGAAAAGUUCUUCAAAAGGCACCUCUUCCACGUUGCUGGCUCAGCACACAGACAAGUCCAGUUUCAUACAUCAUAAAAGUGCACUGCUUCUCCUGCUAAGAACUUUCAUGAACAAGAGAAGAGAUUAGUAAUGUUAAUAACCUUCCCCCUAUCAAAACAAAGAAACCUCCAUAUUCAACCUUAGGCCAUACAAUAGAUGUAAGACAAUAAGUGUUCGUGGACAAUUCAUAUUCUGGCAUGGUGCACUUUUUUAGGAGUAGCAAUAUAAAUCUUCAAAUUCAAUGACAAAGGAAUGAACAUUCUUGUUACUGUUAAUGAACUCACAAUUUGAGAGAAUAAAAUCCCUCCUAUAUUGAAAUGUGUACAUCACCUUAAUUUCUAUCCGAAGGCCAAGCAUCAUUAUGAACCUUAAUGUGACUUCAUCACUCAUUCAUAAAGCAGUAAAGCAGUAAUUAUAAUGGUAAAUUACACAUACUGCUGAUAUUUUUCUUCACUGGAUUAAUGACUGAAUUAGUGAUUAGUUGUCAAUAAAGUAAUCAACAAAUAAUCAGCCUUGCAAUAAGUAGGACUUAGAUAUAUGGUAUAUCUCUUCAAGUAUGUUUUAUAUAAACACUCAAAGAAGUGCAGAAUCCCAGGAGCAUAUCUUUCAAUCUACUAUUGGCUUGUAAGACUUUUUUUAACUUUUUGAUGCUAGUAACUGUAACUCUGAGACUACCACAUUAUUGAUUCUUAUGGAAUGUUAUCACUCGUUAUUGGAAUAAUGCAUUGAGAAACUGACACAUGAAUUUGAAUGCUCACUAAAGUGUGCUACAAUUGAGUUAAGCCUUUUCUAACAACUUAUAUGAGAAAUAUGUUUUGGCAGCCAGACUUCAAUUUUGUAGAGCUUUUCAGGUUUUUUUAGAAGUGUAUCAUUUCUGUUGUCUCUGGAAAUGUAUGUUUCUUACCACCUAAUUUUAGUGAGAUGGGUAAGAAAAAUCCAUAGCAAAAAUGUGUCAGUUCUGCAGCUGUUCAGAUAGUCAGUCUGCAAUUCAUUGCUACAUCUA